AUGAAGCCGGAGCUUGCUCUGGUGGAUUAGUGGCGAACGGGUGAGUAACACGUGAGUAACCUGCCCUUGACUCUGGGAUAAGCGUUGGAAACGACGUCUAAUACCGGAUACGAGCUUCAGCCGCAUGGCUAGGAGCUGGAAAGAAUUUCGGUCAAGGAUGGACUCGCGGCCUAUCAGCUUGUUGGUGAGGUAAUGGCUCACCAAGGCGACGACGGGUAGCCGGCCUGAGAGGGUGACCGGCCACACUGGGACUGAGACACGGCCCAGACUCCUACGGGAGGCAGCAGUGGGGAAUAUUGCACAAUGGGCGCAAGCCUGAUGCAGCAACGCCGCGUGAGGGACGACGGCCUUCGGGUUGUAAACCUCUUUUAGCAGGGAAGAAGCGCAAGUGACGGUACCUGCAGAAAAAGCACCGGCUAACUACGUGCCAGCAGCCGCGGUAAUACGUAGGGUGCAAGCGUUGUCCGGAAUUAUUGGGCGUAAAGAGCUCGUAGGCGGUUUGUCGCGUCUGCUGUGAAAACGCGAGGCUCAACCUCGCGCCUGCAGUGGGUACGGGCAGACUAGAGUGCGGUAGGGGAGAUUGGAAUUCCUGGUGUAGCGGUGGAAUGCGCAGAUAUCAGGAGGAACACCGAUGGCGAAGGCAGAUCUCUGGGCCGUAACUGACGCUGAGGAGCGAAAGCGUGGGGAGCGAACAGGAUUAGAUACCCUGGUAGUCCACGCCGUAAACGUUGGGAAC
Molecule: ribosomal RNA, 736 nt
Filed under: Lysinimonas sp.
Lineage: Bacteria; Bacillati; Actinomycetota; Actinomycetes; Micrococcales; Microbacteriaceae
Description: bacterial SSU rRNA
Rfam family: Bacterial small subunit ribosomal RNA
Source: RNAcentral